GACGAACGCUGGCGGCGUGCUUAACACAUGCAAGUCGAACGGAAAGGCCCCUUUGGGGGUACUCGAGUGGCGAACGGGUGCGUAACACGUGAGUAACCUGCCCUUGACUUCGGGAUAACUUCAGGAAACUGGGGCUAAUACCGGAUAGGAAUCCUUGCUGCAUGGUGGGGGUUGGAAAGCUUCGGCGGUUUUGGAUGGACUCGCGGCUUAUCAGCUUGUUGGUGGGGUAGUGGCUUACCAAGGCUUUGACGGGUAGCCGGCCUGAGAGGGCGACCGGCCACAUUGGGACUGAGAGACGGCCCAGACUCCUACGGGAGGCAGCAGUGGGGAAUAUUGCACAAUGGGCGGAAGCCUGAUGCAGCAACGCCGCGUGCGGGAUGACGGCCUUCGGGUUGUAAACCGCUUUCAGCAGGGGCGAAGCUUGUGGUGACGGUACCUGCAGAAGAAGCACCGGCUAACUACGUG
This 465-nucleotide ribosomal RNA is filed under the name uncultured bacterium. RNAcentral describes it as "partial 16S ribosomal RNA". It matches the Rfam family "Bacterial small subunit ribosomal RNA", at positions 28 to 507 of the family's 1533-position model. The record is from RNAcentral.